AGAGUUUGAUCAUGGCUCAGAUUGAACGCUGGCGGUAGGCUUAACACAUGCAAGUCGAGCGGAAACGAUGGAAGCUUGCUUCCAGGCGUAGAGCGGCGGACGGGUGAGUAACGCGUAGGAAUUUGCCCAGUAGUGGGGGACAACUUAGGGAAACUUAAGCUAAUACCGCAUACGCCCUAAGGGGGAAAGCAGGGGAUCUUCGGACCUUGCGCUAUUGGAUGAGCCUGCGUCGGAUUAGCUAGUUGGUGAGGUAAUGGCUCACCAAGGCGACGAUCCGUAGCUGGUCUGAGAGGAUGAUCAGCCACACUGGGACUGAGACACGGCCCAGACUCCUACGGGAGGCAGCAGUGGGGAAUAUUGGACAAUGGGGGCAACCCUGAUCCAGCCAUGCCGCGUGUGUGAAGAAGGCCUUAGGGUUGUAAAGCACUUUCAGUACGGAGGAAAAGUUAGUCGUUAAUAACGGCUAGUCGUGACGUCACCUACAGAAGAAGCACCGGCUAACUCCGUGCCAGCAGCCGCGGUAAUACGGAGGGAUCGAACGUUAAUCGGAAUUACUGGGCGUAAAGCGCGCGUAGGCGGUUUGAUAAGUGGGAUGUGAAAGCCCUGGGCUCAACCUGGGAACUGCAUUUGGAACUGGCAGGCUAGAGUACGGUAGAGGGUGGUAGAAUUUCCUGUGUAGCGGUGAAAUGCGUAGAUAUAGGAAGGAAUACCGAUGGCGAAGGCAGCCACCUGGACCAAUACUGACGCUGAGGUGCGAAAGCGUGGGGAGCAAACAGGAUUAGAUCCCCUGGUAGUCCACGCCGUAAACGAUGACAACUAGCCGUUGGGGGACUUGAUCUCUUAGUGGCGCAGCUAACGCAAUAAGUAGACCGCCUGGGGAGUACGGCCGCAAGGUUAAAACUCAAAUGAAUUGACGGGGGCCCGCACAAGCGGGGGAGCAUGUGGUUUAAUUCGACGCAAUGCGAAGAACCUUACCUGGUCUUGACAUCCUACGAACUUUCCAGAGAUGGAUUGGUGCCUUCGGGAACGUAGUGACAGGUGCUGCAUGGCUGUCGUCAGCUCGUGUUGUGAAAUGUUGGGUUAAGUCCCGUAACGAGCGCAACCCUUAUCCUUAUUUACCAGCACGUAAUCUGGGAACUCUAGGGAGACUGCCGGUGACAAACCGGAGGAAGGUGGGGACGACGUCAAGUCAUCAUGGCCCUUACGACCAGGGCUACACACGUGCUACAAUGGACGGUACAGAGGGUUGCCAAGCCGCGAGGUGGAGCUAAUCCCAUAAAACCGUUAGUAGUCCGGAUUGGAGUCUGCAACUCGACUCCAUGAAGUCGGAAUCGCUAGUAAUCGUGAAUCAGAAUGUCACGGUGAAUACGUUCCCGGGCCUUGUACACACCGCCCGUCACACCAUGGGAGUGGAUUGCACCAGAAGUAGUUAGUCUAACCUUCGGGAGGACGAUUACCACGGUGUGGUUCAUGACUGGGGUGAAGUCGUAACAAGGUAGCCGUAGGGGAACCUGCGGCUGGAUCACCUCCUUA
Molecule: ribosomal RNA, 1533 nt
Filed under: uncultured prokaryote
Description: partial 16S ribosomal RNA
Rfam family: Bacterial small subunit ribosomal RNA
Source: RNAcentral